This is a long non-coding RNA of Salvia miltiorrhiza (redroot sage), 1317 nucleotides long. RefSeq lists it as uncharacterized. The record is from RefSeq and is a predicted model, not a curated record. Lineage: Eukaryota; Viridiplantae; Streptophyta; Magnoliopsida; Lamiales; Lamiaceae. The transcript has 4 exons.
UCUUGCUAAGUAUUUCUCUCUCCUUCACUCACAAUUUUCGGUCACCACCUCUCUCCUUCCACCCCCAUUCGACACUCACUCUCUCUCCCUCAUCUCUCACAUUUCCUCCAUUGUCAACCAUUAACGAGACCUUCAAAGCUUCACAAAAGUAUGCCAAACACAUAAAUCACCAUCAAAACCUUACCCAAACACCUCCCAUCUACUUGAAUCCAAGGAGAUCCUUGAAGAUUGGCCUCAAAGCUAGAGAGAGAAAGUUUGAUAUUUGGUGUAAAGUUUGGGCCCGAGCGAGAAGAAGAAGUAAGUCACCUGAUUUCUUUCCAGGAUUAGUGAAGGACUUCAGGUGGGCAAUAUUUUGAGUAUACAUAUAUCGUAUGAGCUUUCUAAAUGAUUUGAUGAUGUUAUGAGUUUAUCAAAUGCUUUGAGAUAAAUGAUAUUUGAGAACUGUUUGACUUGCCAAUUUUUGAUGUUGAGCUUGUGUGUUACCCUCUACUGAUGAGAUGAGACGAAUUCGGUCCUGCCACAAGCGGGAUUUUGUGCACAGAGGUGACUGUGAGCCGUCUUCGGGUCGGCCGGUCACGGUACUUGAGAGGGAGGCCUACUUCUCAGUACCUUUGAUGAUGAUGAGUUGUAGAUGUGGUACAUACAUGUUAAGAUCCUUGACUGCAGUCGUUUCUUUAUGAUAUCAUGAUUAUGAAAACUACAUGCACAGAUUUAUUUACGCCAACUUUAUUCCUGUGUAUUGCUGAGAUGUGGCAAGUGAAAAAUCCCUUCCUGGGGCUUGUUCAACGGUGUUUGAUCAGUGAGCCUAUUCACGUUGUGCACCACUUUGAACCCUUGUUCAUUCCAGGUGGGUUGAUAUGCCGACUGUGUUUCUCCCUGCAGUACUCUGGGAGGCAGUCCUCUGUAUGGCACCCUUUCUUGAUACCGAGUGUCUGUUUGUUCAGGUUAUCAAAAAAGGCUCCAGGCCUUAACCCUCGGACGAAGACGUACCCCUUGAUUUGAGAUUAAGCUUUGGGCACUUCCAGAGAUGCCUUGGUGAAACGAGCACACGCUUGGAACCCGCGAACUGACACAUGAAGAUAUCAUGGAGGUGUUCAAAAGAGUGAAUUGAAUUAGGUUCCAAUGUCCAGAACCACUGCUGAGCCAUCCGGUUAGCGUAGUGGAGAAAAUUCUAAACUUGAUCCCCUCAGUGUACUGAUGUAGCGUGAUCAUGGUUUUGAAUCUGGCCAUGUGCCCCUCUAGGUCCAGUGGAGGAUCCAGAAUUUUUAAGUUGGGGGUACGAAAAAAUAAAUUGCCAAAGGUCGGGUUGUUUUGUCA